AUUGAACGCUGGCGGCAGGCCUAAUACAUGCCAGUCGAGCGGAUGAAGGGAGCUUGCUCCUGGAUUCAGCGGCGGACGGGUGAGUAAUGCCUAGGAAUCUGCCUGGUAGUGGGGGAUAACGUCCGGAAACGGGCGCUAAUACCGCAUACGUCCUGAGGGAGAAAGUGGGGGAUCUUCGGACCUCACGCUAUCAGAUGAGCCUAGGUCGGAUUAGCUAGUUGGUGGGGUAAAGGCCUACCAAGGCGACGAUCCGUAACUGGUCUGAGAGGAUGAUCAGUCACACUGGAACUGAGACACGGUCCAGACUCCUACGGGAGGCAGCAGUGGGGAAUAUUGGACAAUGGGCGAAAGCCUGAUCCAGCCAUGCCGCGUGUGUGAAGAAGGUCUUCGGAUUGUAAAGCACUUUAAGUUGGGAGGAAGGGCAGUAAGUUAAUACCUUGCUGUUUUGACGUUACCAACAGAAUAAGCACCGGCUAACUUCGUG
This 484-nucleotide ribosomal RNA is filed under the name uncultured bacterium. RNAcentral's name for it is "partial 16S ribosomal RNA". It matches the Rfam family "Bacterial small subunit ribosomal RNA", at positions 30 to 507 of the family's 1533-position model. The record is from RNAcentral.